GGAGAAGGGUGUAGCAUAGUGGCAGAGCAUCUCCUCAGUAUGAAGAAGGCUCCAGGUUCAAUCCCAGGUGUUUCCA
Non-coding RNA from Podarcis lilfordi (Lilford's wall lizard), 76 nucleotides. NCBI's taxonomy places the organism in Eukaryota, Metazoa, Chordata, Lepidosauria, Squamata, Lacertidae. The record is from the annotation of a GenBank genome assembly.